This is a non-coding RNA of Electrophorus electricus (electric eel), 569 nucleotides long. The record is from RefSeq and is a predicted model, not a curated record. Lineage: Eukaryota; Metazoa; Chordata; Actinopteri; Gymnotiformes; Gymnotidae.
GUGUGUGUGUGUGUGUGUGUGUGUAAUAGAGAAAGCGAGAGAAAGUGAGAUCGUUGGAUAUAAGAUGUAAGAUGUCUUCAUGACUACCUGCGCAGUCGACCUGUCAUUUGCAUCUGUCGCGAAUGGUGCCGUCGUGAUAACGGGAAUAAAAUAGCGAUCGGAAAUCAAUACACUGUUGUUUUAAGGGUGCCUCCUAGGCGUAACACGUUCUGGAAUGGAGCGUUUGAUGCGGUAAGCGCUUCAGGUUGACGAGAACAAGACUACCACAGGCUCGCCGCAUCGUCCUAGAGGCUUCAGUCGCGCUGUGAAGCCACGAUGACACGCGAUAGCUCUUUGCCGCGAGGCUUAUCACCGCGUGUGCAAACAUGUCAGAAUAACAACAUAAAGAACAAGACAUGCUGAACUAAUGAGAGAAAUCAGAGAGAUGGAUAAAGAAUGAGGAUCCAAAAUGGAAAAAAGCAAGAGCGUGUUUGGGAGAAAGAGUGAAGAUUAAAGCAAACACCUCCCACUCUCUCUCUUACAACGGCUGUGAUGUCAUCAUUAUGAGCCCACAGGCCAAAAGGUUAUGA